Molecule: ribosomal RNA, 322 nt
Filed under: uncultured eukaryote
Lineage: Eukaryota
Description: partial 18S ribosomal RNA
Rfam family: Eukaryotic small subunit ribosomal RNA
Source: RNAcentral
CCCUUAGAUGUUCUGGGCCGCACGCGUGCUACACUGAGUAAUUCAAUGGGUAAGGGAACGCUAGAGCAUUACCUAAUCUUGAAAUUUGCUCGUGAUGGGGAUCGACGGUAGCAAUUUUCCGUCGUGAACGAGGAAUACCUUGUAGGCGCAUGUCAUCAUCAUGCGCCGAAUACGUCCCUGCCCUUUGUACACACCGCCCGUCGCUCCUACCGAUUGAGUGAUCCGGUGAGGCUCUGGGACCUGGACGGAAAGAGCGUUUCGCUUGUUCUGUUUGGGAAACUUGGUCGAACCUUAUCAUUUAGAGGAAGGAGAAGUCGUAACA